This 314-nucleotide unclassified non-coding RNA is filed under the name plant metagenome. RNAcentral describes it as "partial contains 5.8S ribosomal RNA, internal transcribed spacer 2, and large subunit ribosomal RNA". The stretch from base 1 to 105 matches the Rfam family "5.8S ribosomal RNA", at positions 50 to 154 of the family's 154-position model. The record is from RNAcentral.
GAAAUGCGAUAAUUAAUGUGAAUUGCAGAAUUCAGUGAAUCAUCGAGUCUUUGAACGCACAUUGCGCCCCCUGGUAUUCCGGGGGGCAUGCCUGUCCGAGCGUCAUUGCUGCCCUCGAGCACGGCUUGUGUGUUGGGCUUCCGUCCCUGGCAACGGGGACGGGCCCAAAAGGCAGUGGCGGCACCAUGUCUGGUCCUCGAGCGUAUGGGGCUUUGUCACCCGCUCCCGUAGGUCCAGCUGGCAGCUAGCCUCGCAACCAAUCUUUUUAACCAGGUUGACCUCGGAUCAGGUAGGGAUACCCGCUGAACUUAAGC